CGUGGCACCGGCUAACUACGUGCCAGCAGCCGCGGUAAUACGUAGGGUGCAAGCGUUAUCCGGAUUUAUUGGGCGUAAAGGGCUCGUAGGCGGUUCGUCGCGUCUGGUGUGAAAGUCCAUCGCUUAACGGUGGAUCUGCGCCGGGUACGGGCGGGCUGGAGUGCGGCAGGGGAGACUGGAAUUCCCGGUGUAACGGUGGAAUGUGUAGAUAUCGGGAAGAACACCAAUGGCGAAGGCAGGUCUCUGGGCCGUUACUGACGCUGAGGAGCGAAAGCGUGGGGAGCGAACAGGAUUAGAUACCCUGGUAGUCCACGCCGUAAACGGUGGAUGCUGGAUGUGGGGCCCUUUCCACGGGUUCCGUGUCGGAGCUAACGCGUUAAGCAUCCCGCCUGGGGAGUACGGCCGCAAGGCUAAAACUCAAAGAAAUUGACGGGGGCCCGCACAAGCGGCGGAGCAUGCGGAUUAAUUCGAUGCAACGCGAAGAACCUUACCUGGGCUUGACAUGUUCCCGACGACCUCAGAGAUGGGGUUUCCCUUCGGGGCGGGUUCACAGGUGGUGCAUGGUCGUCGUCAGCUCGUGUCGUGAGAUGUUGGGUUAAGUCCCGCAACGAGCGCAACCCUCGCCCCGUGUUGCCAGCGCGUCAUGGCGGGAACUCACGGGGGAC
Molecule: ribosomal RNA, 665 nt
Filed under: Eubacteriaceae bacterium CHKCI005
Lineage: Bacteria; Bacillati; Bacillota; Clostridia; Eubacteriales; Eubacteriaceae
Description: bacterial SSU rRNA
Rfam family: Bacterial small subunit ribosomal RNA
Source: RNAcentral